RNAcentral lists this ribosomal RNA (298 nucleotides) under Pelobates cultripes (western spadefoot toad). Its description in RNAcentral is "SSU_rRNA_microsporidia". It matches the Rfam family "Eukaryotic small subunit ribosomal RNA", at positions 161 to 430 of the family's 1831-position model. Lineage: Eukaryota; Metazoa; Chordata; Amphibia; Anura; Pelobatidae. The record is from RNAcentral.
AUGCUAAUAUGAAAAGUAAAUUAAAUGCAAUAAACUAACAAUACAAACAGUGCUUGUCUAUAGUUUAAAUGCAACUGCUUGUUACUGUCGUUAAUGGCAUGGUUGUGAUUGGCCAGUGCAGCAUGUGACCCAGCUAGUAGGGGCAUGUUUAAUAAACACUGAUCAGCCUGUGGCAAUCCAUAUAAACUUGCGAUGCGAUUGACUGCGCCUACCAUGGUGACCACGUGUAACGGGGAACUAGGGUUCGAUUCCAUACAGGGACCCUGACAAACGGGUGCAACAUGCAAGGAAGGCAGCA